GACAAACGCUGGCGGCGUGCCUAACACAUGCAAGUCGUACGUCCUCUUGGAGUUCGCUUCAAGAGGGAGUGGCGGACGGGUGAGGAACACGUGGGAACCUGCCCACCGGUGAGGAAUACCGGCGAGAAAUCGCUGACAAGACCGCAUACGCUUCGCAAGAAGCAAAGCUCUCCGCACGGGGAGCGCCUGUGGAGGGGCCUGCGUCCGAUUAGCUAGCUGGUGGGGUAAUGGCUCACCAGGGCGACGAUCGGUAGCUGGUCUGAGAGGAUGAGCAGCC
This 277-nucleotide ribosomal RNA is filed under the name uncultured bacterium. Its description in RNAcentral is "partial 16S ribosomal RNA". It matches the Rfam family "Bacterial small subunit ribosomal RNA", at positions 28 to 309 of the family's 1533-position model. The record is from RNAcentral.